Arvicola amphibius (Eurasian water vole) is the source of this 104-nucleotide small nuclear RNA. NCBI's taxonomy places the organism in Eukaryota, Metazoa, Chordata, Mammalia, Rodentia, Cricetidae. The record is from RefSeq and is a predicted model, not a curated record.
GUUCACUUCGGCAGCACAUACACUAAAAUUGAAAUGGCACAGAGAAGAUUAGCAUGCCCCUGCAAAAGGAUGACAUGCAAGUUCAUGAAGGGUUCCAUAUUUUU